UAAAUUUUCUUCAAAAAUACUUUUUGAUCUAGAACUAUUUUUAAAAUUAAAACGAUCUAGUUAAAAUAUUAGAACUGCCAUAAGGCUAAUUAUUGGAGCGGCAGAUAAACACAUUACUUUUGCGGAUCAAAAGGAGCUGGAUGGCAUGAAGUUUUGUUGUUGGAUUAAUAUUAGAACUGCCUCCAAUUCUAAUGUGUUUCUAUUAUAUAUAUGGUCAUGAAAAUAUAUGAAAAGGCAUAACAUAUUAUUUGAUUAAAAUAUAUGAAAUAAUCUAAAUUUGUAAAUCUCACUCUCCUUUGUUUAAACUUGAAAAGUAAUUUGUUUUUGUUAUAAAUGUCCUUCAAUGUUUUGAUUAUUUAUUUGUAAUUUUUAAAAAAGAAGGUUAUUUUUUUGUGGUUUAACUUAGGUGUCAACCCAAUGUUUGAAUGGAGUUGAACAAUUAUUUAAAAUACUCAGAUUGGGUUUGAAUUAGGUUUUUUCCAACUCAAGUUCUAUUUAUGGGUUGGACUCAUAUUAAUGUUCUAACAAUCCAAACCUAAUUCAAAUAUAUGUUUUUAUAAUAUUUAUUAUGUAUAUUAACCUAUAUAAUAAUAUUCAUUUUUUUUUAAUUUUGAAGAAAAAUAUCAAAUUAUUUUAUAUUGUAUACUUUUUUUUAGAAAGAUAUAUAAAUUUAUUUUUACCUUUUUUUUUGUUAUUAUCUUGAAAAUUUGUUCUAUUUAUUUUAAAAAAAAUUAAUAUAAAUAUAUUUAAGAAACAUUAUAGAUAGAUUUUAAAUUAUGCAACUCAGUCAACCAACCAACCCAAACUUGGAGAAAUGAUAUUAGGUAAAGUUUAGGUUGAGUAUUUCAUGUUAGAGGUUAAAUUGAACUUCGAUUUACCGUUUCUUAAUUUAAGUUGCGAUUGGAUUAGUCAUCAAUUCAUCCAAGUUGCAACAUCAUUGUUUUUAAAAGAAAAAUAUUACGAUGUUUUUUUUAAUUAAAAAUUUGUAUUUUUUAGGCUAAAAGAAUAUGAAAGGUUAGAUUUACAAAUUGAGGAUUAUUUCAAAGUCAAAUAACCCUAUAUAUAUAUUAAAAAUAACAUUGUAUAUUAAUUAAUAAGAGAUUAUGGUAAUAAUAUUUGUUUUCAUUAUUUAUCUUUUUAACUUGGAAUAGAAUAGUGAUGAUAAAUCAUCUUCGAACUUUUUCCCAUUACUCAUCUCUACUAAUUGAAUAGAUAAUUUUUUUUUAAAAAAUAAAAUAAAAUUGAAUCUAUAUAAGUUAUAUAACUUCCUUUAUAUUAGAUAAGAUAGAAAUGAAAGGAAUUUUCUUUUACAAUUUUUAUUCCCCUAUAUAACUUACAUAUAUGACAAAGGGGAAAAACAACAGCUCAUGCAUGAUUGUGUAUUUGAAGUUUUUACAUGUAACGUACCCUAUAUACAUACAUACUAAUAUUUUUUCAAAAACAAGAAAAACACUUCCAAUUUUUAUCUUUCUGUCCUUUUCAAACUAGGAAAAACCUUGAUUAUGUUAGCAGGACAUUCUAUUCAAGGCAAUGUAAGUAACGAUCAUAUGUACAGCUAACGAGUUACAUGAAUAUAAAAUGGAUGUAGAAAAAGAAAUUACCAUUUUGAACCAACUCUCGAGCACUAACGCAAGAGGCAAAGAGAAGGACUGAAAUGAAGAGAAAGCAUACAAGGAAAGCCCUCAUGGUGAUGGGAGAUUGGAGUAGGGUGUGAUAAGCUUUCUCCCCCGCUACCCUUAUUUAUAAGGGAGAAUUACCCUUAAGGGUAGGGUAAAAUUAUGAUAAUUCCUCCAAAUGCCUUAUUUUGUUUAAAUGUCAAUACUACCCUUAAUAAGUGAAAAGCAACAGCAAAGUGAAAAGCAACAGAAAAUAAAAAAGAGUCUUCUUUAACCUACCUGGAACUUGUCGGUGUUGUAGAAGAAAAAAGGGAAAGGAAAAAGGUUCAGCACUUCAGGUCAUUAUCUGCAACCGUUUACACAAAACUUGUUUUUUUUUUUUUGUGAAACUAGUAAGAAAUCCAUUAAAGGUCAGUUUUUUUUUUAAAUACAAAAAAAAAAAGUCAGUUUAUGGAAAAAUAAAUAAAUAAUUUUAAAAUCAGAUUGAAUGAAGGAAAAGUUAAUAAUUUUAACAAUGUAGAUGUAAGAUAUUAGAUCUGAAAUAUUGAAGGAGGUUUUGAGAAAGAAAUUACAUUUUUUGUAUAAAAUGUUAUUUAAAUUUAUUAUUUUGAAUUUUUUUUAUAUUAUUUUGGUCAUAGAAGAUGUGUUUUUAUUUUUAAUUUAUUUUCCUAGUUGUUUGAUAUGAUUAUUAUUGAUUUCCAUUGAAAAUGUUUGCACUUUAAUUUUGUUGUUGAGACUUGUUUGACAUGGCAGAAGAAAAAAUUUUCUCAGUUGUUUCUUGGUUGUUUGGAACCACUUUAUUUGGGUAUUUAUGAACAUGUUUGAAUUUUUGUUGAAAACUCAAAAUAGUAAUCAAUUGAGACAUAUUUUGUAUAAUAAAGAACAAUAUUUGUUAUAUAUUAGACAUAUAUAUGCCAAAAAAACCCACAACUGCCCAGUUUCAUAAGAAAUUUGAAAUUUUAAAAAUUUUAUCUUAUCGUAAUGUAUCGUAAUGUUACUGUAUUUAUAUUGUAAUUGUAGUGUAUUUUUAUUGUACAUUUAUAUUUUUAUAUAAAAAAACCCACGAUUGCCCAGUUUCAUACAAAAUUUGAAAUUUUGAAAAUUUUACGUUAUCAUAAUGUAUUGUAAUGUUAUUGUAUUUAUAUUGUAAUUGUAGUGUAUUUUUAUUGUACAUUUAUAUUUUUAUAUAAAAAAUUAAUUUUAUAGAUUUUUUUAUACAUUUGGAUUACCAUCAACAACUUUAUGUAUUGAAAUUACAAUAAUAUAUUUUUGUUGUCUUUUUAUAAUUUUGGCUUGUAAUGAUGCUUUAUGAUAGGAAUACAAAAUGAUAACCUAGAAACGUUAAUUCAGUAAAAAGCAAAUUCCAUAUUUUGUCAUUUUGGCAUAUUAUAAUAUAUCGUAAUAUUAAUAUAUUUUUAUUAUAACUAUAUUGCAUUUGUAUUGUACUUAUAUUUUAUAAUUGUCAGGAAAGAUGUACUUUUCAAUUGGUAAAUGAAUUUGAGAAAUUCAAGGUAAAUUGGUUUAAUAAAAAUAUGAGGUCUUCAUAAGAAUUAUCAAAUCUAUCCAUCCUUUUUAGUAAUUUUUUUUCCCAACUUACCCUUAAGGGUAUAAUGGCAUUCAUAUGUGUGAAGGGCAAAGUGUCCCACAAAAAAGGGGAAGCAAGGAUGAGUCCCCGCUACCCCACUAUCUCAAUUAUCACAAAACAUAUGGUACCGGCCUCUCCUGCAUAUCUUCUGAUCCGGAACCAACUUUUCUCAUUCACAUGGGUUCACCGCCCAACUUUCUCACUCCACUCAAUUAUUGCACUCCACGAUAGAAUUUUCUCUCAUUAUCAUGAUAAUAUUCAUGGAUUGCGACUGGCUGCUGCCAGAAUUCUAUGGAGGAAAAGAAUACAAGUAAUUUCUUAAUUUUUUUAAAGUUUCUGAUUUCCAUUUUCAGAAAUGGUUUUUAUAUUAAAAAUAUUGGUGAAUUGAAAUUACGUAUAUCAAUUUUUCUUUUUAAAGUGUUUAAAAGUUUAUUUUACAAUGAUUUUAAGAAACGUUUUUAUCUCUUUUAACACUUAAAAGAUAAUUUCGUUUUAAGUGUUAGAAAUACUAAAAACGUUUUCUAUCAUUACUAUCAAAUGUACUCUUUGUUUUUAAAAAAAUUAUUUAUCAACUAUUGCUAUAAAAAACACUAUUAAUGAUUUUUUUAAUUAUUUAAAAGUGUUUUUUAAAUUUCAAAUACCUAAUUUUUCUUCAAAAAUAUUUUUUGAUAUAGAACUAUUUUUCAAGACACUACUAAUGAUUUUUUAAUUAUCUAAAAGUGUUUUCUAAAUUUUAAAUACCUAUUUUUUUGAAAAAAAUAAAAUAAUUUUUGAUGUAGAACUGUUUUUAAAAAACCAUCUAGUUAAAAGCAUAAAUAGGACACUGCCAUACUGCUAAUUAUUAGAGCGGCAGAUAAACACAUUACUUUUGCGGACCAAAAGGAGCUGGAUGACAUCUAUAAAGUUUUGUUGUUGGAUUAAUAUUAGAACGGCCUCCAAUUCUAAUGUGUUCAUAUCUAUAUAUUGUUAUUCUUGAAUUAUCACAAAUGUAUGGUCAAAUAAUUAUGUAUAAUAAAUAAACGAAAAAGUAAGUAAAUAUUGAAUCUUACAAACGGUUGAUCGAGGCUAGAGUUUGACUCUAUGUCCUUAAGACGAAUUUGCCCUGUACUGGUGCUUAUGAUUUGUUGACAAUCAUUUCCGAGGAUACAAUGAUCACUUUCUUGUGAUACUAGCACUUCAAAUCACAAGAAACAACGAAUUACUUGAUGACUUGAAUUCUCUUGAAUACCAAGCACUUGGAAGAAAGGAGAAGAAGUGGAGAGAAUUGAUGAUGGAAUGAAUGAAAAAUGCCAUGGGGGGCCUAUUUAUAGGUUUUCUGGUGACUCUUAAAAGAGAUGUGUCUUAAAUACUUGAUAUAUCCUUUGACACAAGUUGUGUCUAUUAGGAAGAGUUGAGUCUAAUUGAAAUGGUAUGUCUUAAUUUUCAUUCACCUAUAAAUAUCCCAACAUAUAUUAUGGUCAUCGUCAUGUAUCUGCAUUUUCGUAAAUAAAUAAAUGAAAAGGUUUAACAUAUUAUUUUAUUAAAAUACAUAAAAUAAUCUAAAUGUGUAAAUUUCACUCUCCUCGUGUUUAAACUUGAAAGUAAUCUGUUUUGUUAUAAAUGUCCUUUAAUAUUUUGAUUAUUUAUUUGUAAGUUUUAAAAAAGAAGAUUAUUUUUUAGUGGUCUAACUUAGGUGCUAACUCGAUGUUUGAAUGGUCUUGAACAAUCAUUUGCAAUACUUGGAUUGAGUUUGGAUUAGGUUUUUUCCAAACCAAGUUCAAUUUAUGAGCUGACUCGGAUUGAGGUUCAAACAAUCCAAGCCUAAUUCAAAUCUAUGUUUUUAUAAUAUUUAUUAUGUAUACUAUCCUAUAUAAUAAUAUUUAUUUUCUUUUUAAAUUUUUAAGAAAAAAAAAAAUCAAAUUAUGUUAUAUUGUAUAUAUUUUUUAUUAUUUUUUAGAAAGAUAUAUAAACUUAUUUUUACUUUUUUUUUUUGUUAUUAUCUUGCAAUUUUGUUCUAUUUAUUAUUUAAAUUUUAAUAUAAAUAUAAUUUUUUUUUAAAGAAAUAUUAUAGAUAUAUUUUAAAUUAUAUAACUUAGUCAACCCAACCAACCUGAACUUGGAGAAAUGAUAUUAGGUUAAGUUUGGGUUGAGUAUUCAUGUCAUAGGUUAAGUUGAACUUGGAUUUGUUAUUUCUUAAUUUGAGUUGGGAUUGGAUUAGUCAUCAACUCACUCAAGUUGCAACCUUAUUGUUCUUAAAAGAAAAAAGCAAAGAUAGUUUUUUUUUAAUAAAAAAUUUGUAUUUUUUUAAGCUAAAAGAAUGUGGAAGGUUAGAUUUACAAAUUGAGG
Molecule: long non-coding RNA, 5526 nt
Filed under: Vitis vinifera (wine grape)
Lineage: Eukaryota; Viridiplantae; Streptophyta; Magnoliopsida; Vitales; Vitaceae
Description: long non-coding RNA (VVIN_LNC004765)
Source: RNAcentral